RNAcentral lists this long non-coding RNA (715 nucleotides) under Mus musculus (house mouse). RNAcentral describes it as "predicted gene, 42151, transcript variant 2 (Gm42151)". The record is from RNAcentral. Lineage: Eukaryota; Metazoa; Chordata; Mammalia; Rodentia; Muridae.
AGGCUGGCGGCUCCCCGGAGCGCGCCCAGUCGGCCCUGCCUCGCCGCGCCCCCGCCCCUGGGCUCUGGGAACGCGCGGUCCCGCUAGCCUGAAGACCAGCUGAUGGCCGCGGAGCCCACUCGGUAUCUGCACCAGCUAGGCCCCUGGCCCCCAGAGCUGGCCGUUACUGCACUGUCUCUACUCCCGGCUUUAAACAGGAGGAAGGGAGCUGAACGGAACCUUCGAGCUUUUAAAGCCAGGAGUGGCCAGUCACCCCAGUACUCAGGAGACUGAGGCUGAGGGUUCAUGAGUUACAUAGGACAACCUGGACUGUAGAGGGAGCCUGUGCCUGCCUGACUGCCUUCGAUGAUAGACUGUAAUGUAGGAAUACAAGUGAAGUCAACGCUUCCCUACCCAGAUGCUUCUGCUCAUUCAUCGCGGUUUAUCGAAUCAAUAGGAAGCCCAAGACACCAGCCUAGGAGAAAGGUCAUGGCGGCUGGAAAUGGCAACACCACAGACACAGACUGUCCAGCACAUCACAGGAUCAUGGGCCCCGAUGCUGAGAAUGGAGCUGCAGGAUUUAACGUUUGUCUUGCUAUGCUUUGGUCUUGUUUCACUUAAAUCCUUCCCUGUCAUUUCUUUUUCCUGUUGGAAUGAAGAUGCUUACUCUGUGCAGUAUUGUAUUUCAGAAGUACAUAACUUCAUUUUUGAUAUUACAGAAGCUCAAGAAACUAAA